Molecule: transfer RNA, 74 nt
Filed under: bacterium
Lineage: Bacteria
Description: tRNA-His
Rfam family: tRNA
About the family: Transfer RNA (tRNA) molecules are approximately 80 nucleotides in length. Their secondary structure includes four short double-helical elements and three loops (D, anti-codon, and T loops). Further hydrogen bonds mediate the characteristic L-shaped molecular structure. tRNAs have two regions of fundamental functional importance: the anti-codon, which is responsible for specific mRNA codon recognition, and the 3' end, to which the tRNAs corresponding amino acid is attached (by aminoacyl-tRNA synthetases). tRNAs cope with the degeneracy of the genetic code in two manners: having more than one tRNA (with a specific anti-codon) for a particular amino acid; and 'wobble' base-pairing, i.e. permitting non-standard base-pairing at the 3rd anti-codon position.
Source: RNAcentral
GCGGUCGUAGCUCAAUUGGUUAGAGCGUCUCGCUGUGGCCGAGAAGGUUGCCGGUUCGAGCCCGGUCGAUCGCC